UGGGGAAUAUUGCACAAUGGGCGCAAGCCUGAUGCAGCCAUGCCGCGUGUGUGAAGAAGGCCUUCGGGUUGUAAAGCACUUUCAGCGAGGAGGAAGGCAGUCGUGUUAAUAGCACGAUUGAUUGACGUUACUCGCAGAAGAAGCACCGGCUAACUCCGUGCCAGCAGCCGCGGUAAUACGGAGGGUGCAAGCGUUAAUCGGAAUUACUGGGCGUAAAGCGCACGCAGGCGGUGUGUUAAGUCAGAUGUGAAAUCCCCGCGCUUAACGUGGGAACUGCAUUUGAAACUGGCAAGCUAGAGUCUUGUAGAGGGGGGUAGAAUUCCAGGUGUAGCGGUGAAAUGCGUAGAGAUCUGGAGGAAUACCGGUGGCGAAGGCGGCCCCCUGGACAAAGACUGACGCUCAGGUGCGAAAGCGUGGGGAGCAAACA
RNAcentral lists this ribosomal RNA (427 nucleotides) under uncultured bacterium. RNAcentral describes it as "partial 16S ribosomal RNA". It matches the Rfam family "Bacterial small subunit ribosomal RNA", at positions 355 to 774 of the family's 1533-position model. The record is from RNAcentral.